UGACUAAACAUUGUAAACACUUUUCUAGUAAAUUAACUCGUAUAAAUUAUAUAAACUUCUUCUACAACUUUCACAUAAAGCUCAAUAUGAUAAGCCCCCCCUCAAUACUUUCAUAACACGAUUAAAAUUGUGUAAUGAAAUGUAUUUUUGUGUUCUUGUGUCUUGGUAGUCUGGUGGUGAAUGAGCAGUCGGUUUGGAGAGAUCAGUUCUAUGACGGAAACGUGAGGAAAGACUAAAGAGAGAGGGAAACAGCUCACCUGAUCGCCCCGUGGAUGGCUUUGCACAUGGACAGGAAGGCGAUAAUGACGAGGAUCGACGGCACCGGAUGAAGAGUAAGU
Gadus morhua (Atlantic cod) is the source of this 338-nucleotide long non-coding RNA. RefSeq lists it as uncharacterized. The record is from RefSeq and is a predicted model, not a curated record. The transcript is spliced from 3 exons. NCBI's taxonomy places the organism in Eukaryota, Metazoa, Chordata, Actinopteri, Gadiformes, Gadidae.